CAGCAGCCGCGGGAAUACGUAGGUGGCAAGCGUUGUCCGGAAUUAUUGGGCGUAGAGGGCUCGCAGGCGGUUUCUUAAGUCUGAUGUGAAAGCCCCCGGCUCAACCGGGGAGGGUCAUUGGAAACUGGGAAACUUGAGUGCAGAAGAGGAGAGUGGAAUUCCACGUGUAGCGGUGAAAUGCGUAGAGAUGUGGAGGAACACCAGUGGCGAAGGCGACUCUCUGGUCUGUAACCGACGCUGAGGAGCGAAAGCGUGGGGAGCGAACAGGAUUAGAUACCCCCGUAGUCCCUGUCUCUUAUAC
This 301-nucleotide ribosomal RNA is filed under the name uncultured bacterium. RNAcentral describes it as "partial 16S ribosomal RNA". It matches the Rfam family "Bacterial small subunit ribosomal RNA", at positions 509 to 807 of the family's 1533-position model. The record is from RNAcentral.